RNAcentral lists this ribosomal RNA (871 nucleotides) under uncultured bacterium. RNAcentral's name for it is "bacterial SSU rRNA". It matches the Rfam family "Bacterial small subunit ribosomal RNA", at positions 60 to 942 of the family's 1533-position model. The record is from RNAcentral.
AGUCACGGGGGCCCGCAAGGGUAACCGGCGAACGGGUGCGUAACACGUGAGCAAUCUGCCGUCCACUGGGGGAUAGCCGGCCCAACGGCCGGGUAAUACCGCAUACGUUCCCUUACUGGCAUCGGUGAGGGAGGAAACCUCCGGGGGUGGACGAGGAGCUCGCGGCCUAUCAGCUAGUUGGUGGGGUAACGGCCUACCAAGGCAAUGACGGGUAGCUGGUCUGAGAGGAUGGCCAGCCACAUUGGGACUGAGAUACGGCCCAGACUCCUACGGGAGGCAGCAGUGGGGAAUAUUGCGCAAUGGCCGCAAGGCUGACGCAGCGACGCCGCGUGGGGGAUGAAGCAUUUCGGUGUGUAAACCCCUGUUGCCCGGGACGAACCGCUCGUUUCGACGAGUCUGACGGUACCGGGUGAGGAAGCACCGGCUAACUCCGUGCCAGCAGCCGCGGUAAUACGGAGGGUGCGAGCGUUGUCCGGAAUCACUGGGCGUAAAGGGCGCGUAGGCGGUCUGCUAAGCGUGUGGUGAAAGCUCGGGGCUCAACCCUGAGUCGGCCAUGCGAACUGGUGGACUGGAGCACUGUAGAGGCAGGUGGAAUUCCGGGUGUAGCGGUGGAAUGCGUAGAGAUCCGGAAGAACACCGGUGGCGAAGGCGGCCUGCUGGGCAGUAGCUGACGCUGAGGCGCGACAGCGUGGGGAGCAAACAGGAUUAGAUACCCUGGUAGUCCACGCCGUAAACGAUGGGGACUAGGUGCUUGGGGGAACGACCCCCCGAGUGCCGGCGCUAACGCAUUAAGUCCCCCGCCUGGGGAGUACGGCCGCAAGGCUGANCUCAAAGGAAUUUGACGGGGGCCCGCACAAGCGGNGGANCAUGU